AUCAUUUCUCAACCUUUUGGCUAAGAUAAAGUAUAGUGUCCAUUCUUAUCAGAUAAAGGAUACAACCUUUAUCCAAGUACAAUACAGUAAAUGGAUUUUUGGAACAGGAAGUUGGAAUAUGAGCUUGCUCCUUCCACUCCGCGCAUCAGCCCGCUAUUGCAGUACUUGCAGGAAGUGUGCACCACCA
Small nuclear RNA from Ochotona princeps (American pika), 187 nucleotides. Its record names the gene U2. It matches the Rfam family "U2 spliceosomal RNA". From Rfam's summary of the family: U2 is a small nuclear RNA (snRNA) component of the spliceosome (involved in pre-mRNA splicing). Complementary binding between U2 snRNA (in an area lying towards the 5' end but 3' to hairpin I) and the branchpoint sequence (BPS) of the intron results the bulging out of an unpaired adenosine, on the BPS, which initiates a nucleophilic attack at the intronic 5' splice site, thus starting the first of two transesterification reactions that mediate splicing. NCBI's taxonomy places the organism in Eukaryota, Metazoa, Chordata, Mammalia, Lagomorpha, Ochotonidae. The record is from Ensembl.